RNAcentral lists this ribosomal RNA (468 nucleotides) under uncultured bacterium. RNAcentral's name for it is "partial 16S ribosomal RNA". It matches the Rfam family "Bacterial small subunit ribosomal RNA", at positions 28 to 507 of the family's 1533-position model. The record is from RNAcentral.
GACGAACGCUGGCGGCGUGCUUAACACAUGCAAGUCGAACGGAAAGGCCCUGCUUUUGUGGGGUGCUCGAGUGGCGAACGGGUGAGUAACACGUGAGUAACCUGCCCUUGACUUUGGGAUAACUUCAGGAAACUGGGGCUAAUACCGGAUAGGAGCUCCUGCUGCAUGGUGGGGGUUGGAAAGUUUCGGCGGUUGGGGAUGGACUCGCGGCUUAUCAGCUUGUUGGUGGGGUAGUGGCUUACCAAGGCUUUGACGGGUAGCCGGCCUGAGAGGGUGACCGGCCACAUUGGGACUGAGAUACGGCCCUGACUCCUACGGGAGGCAGCAGUGGGGAAUAUUGCACAAUGGGCGGAAGCCUGAUGCAGCAACGCCGCGUGCGGGAUGACGGCCUUCGGGUUGUAAACCGCUUUCGCCUGUGACGAAGCGUGAGUGACGGUAAUGGGUAAAGAAGCACCAGCUAACUACGUG